RNAcentral lists this non-coding RNA (24 nucleotides) under Arabidopsis thaliana (thale cress). Lineage: Eukaryota; Viridiplantae; Streptophyta; Magnoliopsida; Brassicales; Brassicaceae. The record is from RNAcentral.
UAUCAGAGGCCUAUGUAGAGCACC